CUCGGAUGACCCGCAUGUCUCUCUCUCAAACCUUCUCUUUUUCGUAAGUGUUUUCCUCAUUUCCCCCAAAUCGAAAGCAAAUCAAUCCCUCGAAACCCUAGAACCCGACUCGAGGCAGUGAUGAAAUUCACCGAAACCCACCGAUACCCACCGAUAUCCACCGCGUCUUCUCCUGUCCAUCAUCAGAACCACCAUCUUCUUCUGGUGUCAGCUUCCUUUCAUCCUCUUGUUCUCUUUACCCAUCGUUGUAAAAGACUCCACAGAAGCUAAUAUGUCGUCUCAGUCUCCAUUUUCCUCUUUGCCAUGAGCUUCGGCAAUCUUCAUGUCUUCUCUUAUCAUCCCUCUUCCGCCGAUCUUCAUCGAAUCCAACUGAUAUUUCAUCACCCUGAAGCUCAUGUCAAUGCGAUCCAAGCACACAUCAGAUUUAGCCUCAGAAAUAUGAAAGUUGGCGAGAAUGUGGAUCAUCUGAUUUUGGGUGAUGAAGAAGAUAAACCGGGUUGGGUAGUUUAUGGGUCGGAUUUUAUUCUUUUUUUUAAUUUGCAUCAGAUUUUGUUACAAUUGGAUUUUGUGUUGGUUUAUCUGGUUAAAGACUUUUUGGUUAAUAGUAAACCGACUAACAUUAUGUUAUAUGAAUAUUUAAGUUUCAAACCAUUGAUUCUGAGAGAAACAAGUUUGAAACUUCUAAUUCAUGGAGAAAUAAU
Raphanus sativus (radish) is the source of this 701-nucleotide long non-coding RNA. RefSeq lists it as uncharacterized. The transcript has 2 exons. The record is from RefSeq and is a predicted model, not a curated record. Lineage: Eukaryota; Viridiplantae; Streptophyta; Magnoliopsida; Brassicales; Brassicaceae.